Molecule: ribosomal RNA, 898 nt
Filed under: uncultured Bacillota bacterium
Lineage: Bacteria; Bacillati; Bacillota
Description: bacterial SSU rRNA
Rfam family: Bacterial small subunit ribosomal RNA
Source: RNAcentral
UUCAGGACGAACGCUGGCGGCGUGCCUAACACAUGCAAGUCGAACGAGAAUCUUUGAACAGAUCUUUUCGGAGUGACGUUCAAAGAGGAAAGUGGCGGACGGGCGAGUAACGCGUGAGUAACCUGCCCAUAAGAGGGGGAUAAUCCAUGGAAACGUGGACUAAUACCGCAUAUUGUAGUUAAGUUGCAUGACUUGAUUAUGAAAGAUUUAUCGCUUAUGGAUGGACUCGCGUCAGAUUAGAUAGUUGGUGAGGUAACGGCUCACCAAGUCAACGAUCUGUAGCCGAACUGAGAGGUUGAUCGGCCGCAUUGGGACUGAGACACGGCCCAGACUCCUACGGGAGGCAGCAGUGGGGAAUAUUGCGCAAUGGGGGCAACCCUGACGCAGCAACGCCGCGUGCAGGAAGAAGGUCUUCGGAUUGUAAACUGUUGUCGCAAGGGAAGAAGACAGUGACGGUACCUUGUGAGAAAGUCACGGCUAACUACGUGCCAGCAGCCGCGGUAAUACGUAGGUGACAAGCGUUGUCCGGAUUUACUGGGUGUAAAGGGCGCGUAGGCGGACUGUCAAGUCAGUCGUGAAAUACCGGGGCUUAACCCCGGGGCUGCGAUUGAAACUGACAGCCUUGAGUAUCGGAGAGGAAAGCGGAAUUCCUAGUGUAGCGGUGAAAUGCGUAGAUAUUAGGAGGAACACCAGUGGCGAAGGCGGCUUUCUGGACGACAACUGACGCUGAGGCGCGAAAGUGUGGGGAGCAAACAGGAUUAGAUACCCUGGUAGUCCACACCGUAAACGAUGGAUACUAGGUGUAGGAGGUAUCGACCCCUUCUGUGCCGCAGUUAACACAAUAAGUAUCCCACCUGGGGAGUACGACCGCAAGGUUGCAACUCAAAGGAAUUGACGG